Molecule: ribosomal RNA, 253 nt
Filed under: uncultured bacterium
Lineage: Bacteria
Description: partial 16S ribosomal RNA
Rfam family: Bacterial small subunit ribosomal RNA
Source: RNAcentral
UACGGAGGAUGCAAGCGUUAUUCGGAAUUAUUGGGCGUAAAGGGCGCGUAGGCGGUUGAAUAAGUCAGAUGUGAAAGCCCUUGGCUUAACCAAGGAAGUGCAUUUGAUACUAUUUGACUUGAGUAUGGGAGAGGGAAGUGGAAUUCCUGGUGUAGAGGUGAAAUUCGUAGAUAUCAGGAGGAACACCAGUGGCGAAGGCGGCUGCCUGGAACAAUACUGACGCUGAGGGACGAAAGCUAGGGGAGCAAACCGG